AGUGAACGCUGGCGGUAGGCCUAACACAUGCAAGUCGAACGGCAGCACAGUAAGAGCUUGCUCUUACGGGUGUCGAGUGGCGGACGGGUGAGGAAUACAUCGGAAUCUACUUUUUCGUGGGGGAUAACGUAGGGAAACUUACGCUAAUACCGCAUACGACCUACGGUUGAAAGCAGGGGAUCUUCGGACCUUGCCCGAUUGAAUGAGCCGAUGUCGGAUUAGCUAGUUGGCGGGGUAAAGGCCCACCAAGGCGACGAUCCGUAGCUGGUCUGAGAGGAUGAUCAGCAACACUGGAACUGAGACACGGUCCAGACUCCUACGGGAGGCAGCAGUGGGGAAUAUUGGACAAGGGGCGAAAGCCUGAUCCAGACAUACCGCGUGGGUGAAGAAGGCCUUCGGGUUGUAAAGCCCUUUUGUUGGGAAAGAAAAGCAGCAGGUUAAUAACCCGAUGUUCUGACGGUACCCAAAGAAUAAGCACCGGCUAACUUCGUG
This 492-nucleotide ribosomal RNA is filed under the name uncultured bacterium. RNAcentral's name for it is "partial 16S ribosomal RNA". It matches the Rfam family "Bacterial small subunit ribosomal RNA", at positions 29 to 507 of the family's 1533-position model. The record is from RNAcentral.